UUACUUCCUCAUAUGAACUACCAAAGAAAUUGGAAAAACCAAAGAUUGUCUUUACAUUCCAAUUUUAAGGAACGUAAUUCCGUCACUAUAGUAGAGAUGGAUGAAUGUUUUGUUUGACAAAACAUUGUUCUUUAUUAAUCAAUGAUUGGAUUAUAGUAAUCUAAUUGAUUGUCUCUAUAGUAGAGAUGAUAUGGUAGUGUUAACUGUUUAGAAUAUAAAUGAUGCUUAAAACCCAAAAGGUUGCAAGGUAGUGACUAAUCCCAACUGAGUUGUGAUACCUCUAAA
RNAcentral lists this long non-coding RNA (285 nucleotides) under Malus domestica (apple). RNAcentral's name for it is "long non-coding RNA (MDOM_LNC019493)". Lineage: Eukaryota; Viridiplantae; Streptophyta; Magnoliopsida; Rosales; Rosaceae. The record is from RNAcentral.